UGGAGUUGGUAUUAACAUACUAGUUUGUGCUUGAGUUAUCACGAGUGGUACACUCGUUAUCAGCUUGAGAACCCCACAGCUAGCACUGCCGCUCUA
This 96-nucleotide non-coding RNA is filed under the name unclassified sequences. Its description in RNAcentral is "DUF3800-V RNA". It matches the Rfam family "DUF3800-V RNA". The record is from Rfam by way of RNAcentral.